AAACAAACACAAAGCGUUGCAUAUUGCAUAAAAGGUUUGAACAAACUUUUAUAAUCAGCUACGUGGGGGAAUGUGGACGGCACAAACAGGAAAUGGGAGCAGGGCACGUUCUAGGCUACCGGAAGUCCUGCUGGCUUCGUGUGAAAGCAGUAAUCACAACACCACAUGUGCGGGAAGGAAUGUGCAUAGUUAGGACUCAGCUGAUGACAGGUUGUUGGCACGAUCAUCAAGCAUCCACGCAUUGUGUUUCUUUGGCCUUCCCGCCUUACAGCGACAUACCUGAGUGCACUUGCUCCUAAAUAAUUAGUGCAUCGGGCCAGCCAGCCGUCCAUUUUCUAUACCACUGCUGCUCAUUAGGGCCACGGGGAAGAUGGAGCCUAUCCCAGCUGACAUCCCAAAGCUGCCGCGACCAAGGGAGUGAAGUGACGAAGGCGUGUGAUGUGGGGGGCUAUGCGCUUCCCGUGUUCCCCUGUGAUCCCUCGUUGUUCCCCUUGCCCCCCG
This is a long non-coding RNA of Entelurus aequoreus (snake pipefish), 501 nucleotides long. RefSeq lists it as uncharacterized. Lineage: Eukaryota; Metazoa; Chordata; Actinopteri; Syngnathiformes; Syngnathidae. The transcript is spliced from 3 exons. The record is from RefSeq and is a predicted model, not a curated record.